This 253-nucleotide ribosomal RNA is filed under the name uncultured bacterium. RNAcentral's name for it is "partial 16S ribosomal RNA". It matches the Rfam family "Bacterial small subunit ribosomal RNA", at positions 524 to 776 of the family's 1533-position model. The record is from RNAcentral.
UACGUAGGGUGCGAGCGUUAAUCGGAAUUACUGGGCGUAAAGCGUGCGCAGGCGGUUUUGUAAGUCAGAUGUGAAAGCCCCGGGCUCAACCUGGGAAUGGCAUUUGAGACUGCAAGGCUAGAGAGUAGCAGAGGGGGGUGGAAUUCCACGUGUAGCAGUGAAAUGCGUAGAGAUGUGGAGGAACACCGAUGGCGAAGGCAGCCCCCUGGGCUAUAUCUGACGCUCAGGCACGAAAGCGUGGGGAGCAAACAGG